CUGAUUUAGCGAACCGAGCGUUAGCGAGGUUUUGCGAUCAUUCUUAUAUUUAAAACCCACUCUUUGAAAUAAAAAAUUUUUAUGUAUUAUCAUAAAUAAAGA
RNAcentral lists this unclassified non-coding RNA (102 nucleotides) under uncultured Glomeromycotina. Its description in RNAcentral is "sequence contains ITS1". The record is from RNAcentral. Lineage: Eukaryota; Fungi; Glomeromycota.